RNAcentral lists this long non-coding RNA (17715 nucleotides) under Gossypium barbadense (sea-island cotton). RNAcentral describes it as "long non-coding RNA (GBAR_LNC002150)". The record is from RNAcentral. Lineage: Eukaryota; Viridiplantae; Streptophyta; Magnoliopsida; Malvales; Malvaceae.
ACUCUCAUCUUACCAUGUCAGGCCAUAAUUAUCGCACUCUUAUCACCCACGUCACGUCUUCAGUAACUUUUUACAUUUGUCACCUUUAUUUUCUUUUUCUUUUAACCUAAUCGUUUCACCUUAUUUACAGUUACCUUCAACCUUCGUUUUCUUCCAGAUUUACUUGUAUUUCCGCAAAAAAUUCAAAGUGUCUACCUUUUUCUUUUCCAAUCACUCUAAACUUUUCAAAGCAAUGGCCAGACGUGUUCCUUCUCAAUCACCCCAUGUGUCAUCAAGAACCUUUUUCAACAAAACCAUAGAGGAGAAAUACACAAAUAACACCUCCAAGCUUCUGUUCUGUUUCGAAAAAAGUUUUCCUUUUCAAGAUGCGCCCUUUAUAGGGUAUGAUGAAUCGAUUUCUUCUAUAAUCGAAAAGUACGGGUGGAAAAUCUUUCGCUUACAUCCAGAAGAUGUUUUAACAAAGGUAGUGCAGGAGUUUUAUGCCCACUUGACCUCUCUUAACAUUGCUUUUAUAUAUGUGAGAGGUGUUUCAGUGCUGCUUGAUAAGUACUCUAUCAAUGCUCAAUAUGGCUUACCUGAUGGUCAAGAUGAGCAUUCUUAGUUUGCCACAACAAUCACGGCGAAGGGCCUGAAUCAAGUUCUUAAGGAUCUUUGUGUGGAAGGAACCAAGUAGGUAGUGCCCAGACAAGAUUGCUACAUUAUAGAAUGAGUUUCUGUGAAACCCCAUGUCUAGUUUGGUACCAUUUUCUCAAAUCUCCUCUCAGUCCUUCUACUCAAAACUUAACAAUUUCAAAGGAGUAAAUAUUGUUACUCCAUUCUGUAGUGACAGGGAGGAAAUCAACGUGGGAAAAAUCAUUUUCAAAGAGGUUCAUAGGUGUGCCUAGAAGAAUACUGGCAGCCUUAAUUUUCCUUCCAUUAUUAUUUCCCUUUGCCAACGUGUGAAAGUCUCAGUUCAAGAAAAUGAAGAUAUGAUUCCAAAAAAGGGGGCCAUUACAAAGUAAAUUGUUAUAAGGUUUUAAGGGGAGGAAUUGCCAUGACAUCCACCUCUCGGUUCUACCUUUACAUCCUCUACCCCAACUUGUGGCCCAACAACCCUUUUCACUUCUACUAAUGUCUUUGAACAACAAGUGCCUAGUUCUCUUAAGAGGUUACACAAGCAGUUUAGUUGUUCGAGAAGCAUCAAUCACGAAUUGCUACUCAUUUGGGUAGGGCACAGGAAGAAAUGGCUCUAUUUUAGGGUUAUGUAAGGAAGAGGGACGUUGCUAUCAAGAAAUCCCUUCAGAUGAUUUUCACUCGGCCUAUGUUUGUGUUCCCCAGUUUCCCUAAGGAACUGCUCUUUGAUGUAGAGGAAGUGAAAGAUGAUGAAGCAGAGGUUGAUGAGACCAAACCUAACCCCACACAUCCUACCAUUGAGGAGAAGGCCACAAAAAGACCAUAGAAAGAUGAGGAGAAGACUGAAUCAGUGAUUAUUGAGACUAACCAUGACAGAGAAUAAGCAAACCCAACUUUUGCACCACCUGCAGAUGCUAUUGCACCUGUCCCACCUCAAUUGACUAUGCCGGUGACACAGCAAGAUCAUGAGACCAAUAAGCUGAUUGAUGAUCUCAUAAAAUCGGAUGAUAACGAAAUGAGGUGGCAAUCAACAUGUUGAAAAAGAAGCAGCGCUACAAGCAUGCUACACGAAAAUCUACUCGUUCAAAUUAAAGUAACAACAAUUUCACUCCAAGCUUUGUUCAUUUUUUUUUAUGUUAUUUGUUUUCUAUUGUAUUUUAGGAUGCAUUCGUUAUUUUUGUCUUAUCAUUUUCUAUCCAUAUAUAUGUUUGUACAUUCAUAAUUUUUGUCUGUUCAUGCAUUGAGGACAAUGCAUCCCUUAGGUUUGAGGGUGUGUUGUGCGUAUAGGUUGCAUUUGAAUAGUUGCUCAUUGUGUCUUUGACAUUCAUUUUUCCAUGACACAUAAAUGCGUUAGACUAUGACGAGUAUAUUUUUUCCUAUGAUGUUCAAUGAGGAAUUUAAUUCUUUAACAUUCCUAGAAAAUUGUGACAGUGGCUUAGGAUAGUUGCUUAAAAGUUGACCCCUAAAAGUAGAAUGUACUAAUUUCAAUUACAAUUAGUCUAUAAUAGGUUUCUUUUGAUAGACUUAGAAAUUCUUGAGGCUAAGUUCAGUGUAACGACAAUACUCAAUGAUUAAAAAAUAUAUAAUAUUUUAAAAUAAUGAUAUCAUCAAAUACUCCAAUGCUUAGAAUUUCCUAGUAAGUCAGCAUCACUUUGUUUGCUCCAUCGUGUUGUUGAUUAGAAAAGUAAGUUUAAGUAAGAGUGAUUCAAUAAAAGAAGCAGUUUAGGGACACUCCACUAUAGUGCUAGGUUAAGUAGCUAAGGGGGUAGUUGUUUGCCCCAUCCAUCUUCUAAUUUAAAAGCCUUAACUUCAUGAGAAAGUAUUCAAAUUGCGUAUGAUGGAAUACCUAGAAAUUUAAUGUAUGCUCCACUAAGAUUGUCAAGUAAUGAAAAUUAUGUGGCAAGAUGAAUCUUCGAGUAAAAGUACUUGUAAUUGAGUUAUGCAAGGCCGGAUUGUUAAAAAGAAAUUGAGCUUGGAUAACAGAUACACUAAGUACAUUAGGAAGUGCUUGUUAUAGUCGAAAUUGCAUGAGUAAUUAUAAUUUUUUAUUUUUAGGGCAACAUUUUCUGUAUUUUUUUUUUGCUAAACAAGCUUAUGAAACAUGAGCAAAUUUUUGGAAACAGAAGAUUGCUGAGAACUGAAGUAUAAAAUAUACUCUACAUAGUCUGACAUUACAAAAGGUAAUUAAAUUAUUGUGGCAAUUCAUUCAUUCAAACAUGCAUUCAUGCAUAUUUUGUUUGAGGACAAGCAAUAACUCAGGUUCGGGGGUGUGAUAUGUAACACCCCGAACCCGAGACCGUCGCCGGAGUCGAACACGAGGUGUUAACAGACUUCAAACCACUUAUUAAANNNNNNNNNNNNNNNNNNNNNNNNNNNNNNNNNNNNNNNNNNNNNNNNNNNNNNNNNNNNNNNNNNNNNNNNNNNNNNNNNNNNNNNNNNNNNNNNNNNNNNNNNNNNNNNNNNNNNNNNNNNNNNNNNNNNNNNNNNNNNNNNNNNNNNNNNNNNNNNNNNNNNNNNNNNNNNNNNNNNNNNNNNNNNNNNNNNNNNNNNNNNNNNNNNNNNNNNNNNNNNNNNNNNNNNNNNNNNNNNNNNNNNNNNNNNNNNNNNNNNNNNNNNNNNNNNNNNNNNNNNNNNNNNNNNNNNNNNNNNNNNNNNNNNNNNNNNNNNNNNNNNNNNNNNNNNNNNNNNNNNNNNNNNNNNNNNNNNNNNNNNNNNNNNNNNNNNNNNNNNNNNNNNNNNNNNNNNNNNNNNNNNNNNNNNNNNNNNNNNNNNNNNNNNNNNNNNNNNNNNNNNNNNNNNNNNNNNNNNNNNNNNNNNNNNNNNNNNNNNNNNNNNNNNNNNNNNNNNNNAACUCAGAAUCCAGUUCCGUAAAUUUUCCCUGAAACUAGACUCAUAUGCCCAUCUACAUAUUUUUUUCUAGAAUUUUUGGCUAGGCCAAUUAGUACAUUUUAUUAGUCAAAUUAUCCCAUGUUACAGGGACCGACUACACUGACCUUUGCGCAUUACGACUUAGAUAUCUCCCUGUACAGGGAUUCAAUACUGAUUUCGUUUCUUUCUAUAGAAACUAGACUCAGAGAGGAAUCUAUACAUAUAUGGAAUGAAUCCUAAUUGUCUCUGGUUAAUUUAUAAUGAAUUUCCAAAUUCGGAACAAGAAAUCCAGAAACCGUUCUGGCCCUGUCUUACGAGAACCGUAAUAUCUCUUAACAUAAUGUCCAUAUGUCCAUAUAGUUUCGUUACUUUCGUAUGAAAAUAGAUUCAUCAAGGUUCGUUUACAUAAUUUAUUCACUAUUUAAUUCCAUUCCUACUAUUUUUAGUGAUUUUCCAAAUCUACAUCACUGCUGCUGUCAGCAUCUGCCUUUAAGGUAGACUUUACCUAUUUCAUAGUUUCCAUGAUUCAACCAGCCCUUUUAGCAUAAAUAGCACAAAUUAUGAUAGUGAUUAACCAUUCCCAUGGCCAAUCCUUGUUAAGCAUAUCCACACCUCUCAAUAACCAUAUCCAUACCAAAUGAUGAUAACAUUAUGCUCAAACAUAUAUAAGCCAUUUUCGCAUGGCUAUCCAAAAUUAUACAAGUCCAAAGGGUCCAUGACCCACAACAAACGGGUAGUCCUAUACAUGCCAUUUCAAAGUUCAACCAAAAUUUGUACCAAAAGGGGGGGGCUUUGAUAGUGUGGGCGACUUCGACUUCAAAAUCCCGAGUCCGAUUGCUGGAGAACCAAAAUCUAUAAAACAGAGAAUCAAGGAGACGGAGUAAGCAAUUUAUGCUUAGUAAGUUUUGAGCAAGGGAUUCCAGCACAACAAAAGUAUAGCAUUCAUGUAGCUAAACGGAUAAUUUCAUAUGCACAAUUUUUCAAUAUCAUACUUACUUCACAUUACCAACCCUUUUAUUCAUACACAAAGAUCAACUUAGCCAAAGGCCGGUAGCUCAUUUAUCAACUGAGCGAAUACUUAUUUGUAAGGGCUCAACUAAUUCAAAGCACAUACGAAACAUACCUCAAUGUUGGGAUGUUUCAAGCGUAUUAACUGAAAUUUUUACAACAAGAUCAUUCAUUCCCAAAUCACGUACCUUCGGAAUUUAACCGGAUAUAGCUACUCGUUCAAAUGCCUUCGGGACAUAGCCCGGUUAUAGUAACUCGCACAAAUGCCUUCGGGACUUAACCCGGAUUUAGUAACUCGCAAAAAUGCCUUUGGGCUUAGCCCGGAAUUAGUAUCUCGCACAAAUGCCUUCGGAUCUUAGUCCGGAUAUGGUCACUUAGCACAAAGCCUUCGGGACUUAGCCCGGACAUCAUUCAAAUAACCACAUUUAACAAUAAAUCAUGGCACAUUCGUAUUUCGUUUUCGUUAGCAAAACUCAAACACAAGACACUUAUCAUUCUUGCAAUUUCGGCUCAUUUGCCACACAAAGAGCAUGAUUUUGAUUUGCUUAAAACAUGAUCUAAUCAAAUCAUAAUUUAAGCUCUUUUACUCAAGAACUUACCUCGGAUGUUGUCGAACGAUUCCGAUAGCUAUUCGACCACUUUUUCCUUCCCUUUAUCGGAUUUAGUUCCCCUUUGCUCUUGAGCUUAAUUAAACAAAUAAAUUGAUUUAAUCAUUUGAGCAUCGAAAAGAGGAACACAAGGCACUUAGCCCAUAUUUAUACAUUAGACAUUAAAGUCACAUAUGUACGGAAAUCAUGAAUCAAACUCAACAUUUUAGCUAAUUUUCCCCCUUGGCCGAAUUUUCUAAGCCAAGACAAAAGCAUCAAUAUGCUUGCCUCUAACCGAAUACAUGCAACACCAAUCUCCUUCCUAUGGCCGAAUAUGCAUGUCUAUGUUGGGGCCGAUUGCAACACUUAAUACAUUCUACAAGUAUGGUCACUUGUAUUGACUAAACACCAUUUUGUUUCAAGUUCAAAACUUGGCUAAUACACACAUAUAUACACUAGUAAAGCAUCCUCUCCCUUUCCAUCAAUUUAACACAUGCAUUACUCAUUAAUAUACAAAAAUUAUAUUCGGCCUUAGCACACAACUUGCUAGCCUAUUCUUCUCCAUCUAGCAACCAAUGCACAUAUGUGCUCACUCAAAAAUGCUAAAAAGAAGAUUCAAGAAUCAUCAAUCCACCAUCACAUGCAUCAUUAACAAGCUUCAUAUUUAGCAUGCAAUGGCAUUAACACAAAAUCCACCUAGGCCGAAUAUCAUCCCCAUGACAUAGCAAAGAUUUGAACCAUGGGCUAAUUAGAACUCAAGCUAGCAACUAAAAACAUGCAUGAAUCUCAUGGCACAACCUCAAACUUACCUUGAUCUAGAUUCAAGUAUGGCCAAACCUCCUCCUAAUCCUCUUCCAAACCAAACAUGAAGCAAGAACUCCUUCCUCCUUCCUUAGAAUUUUCGGCCAAAAGAAGAUGAAAAAAAAGAUGAACAAAAUUUUUCUUUUCUUUUCUUUUACUCACGGCAAUGGGGGGGGAAACAACCACACACCUUUUUUUUGUUUUCAUCAUAUUUCCUUUCAUUAUUUUAUGCCCAUGCUCCUUAUUUUAUUGUUUCCACCCAUGAUGCACCAACACAACAUGUCUAUGACAUGUCUUGCCCAUCACACUUGGUCUACCAUGCUUGUCAUGGCCGGCCACUACUAAUAGAGGGGGGAAAUUGACAUGCAAGUCCCCCCUUUUUUUUCAACAUGCACUAAUAGGUCCUUAUGCUUUGACCUAUCACAUUUUAAAAUUUUCUCACAUAAGUCCUAUUUACUAAAACUCACAUGCAAUCGACUAAAUCGAAGCUUGAAAUUUUCACACAUUCAUAAUUACAUAUUCUAGACCAUAAAUAUCACAUUCAAACAUUUCGGUGACUCGGUUUAGCGGUCCCGAAACCAUUUCCCGACUAGGGUCAAUUUUGGGCUGUCACAACUCUCCCCCACUUAAGAAAUUUUCGUCCCCGAAAAUCUUACCGGUAAAUAAGUUUGGGUAUCGUUCUUUCAUUGAGCUCUCGGUUUCCCAAGUAGCUUCCUCGAUCCCGUGUUUGAGCCAUAACACCUUUACUAGCGAAACCCUUUUGUUUCGCAACUCCUUCACUUCCCGAGCUAGGAUACGCAUCGGUUCUUCUUCAUAACUCAUAUCGGCUUGAAUUUCAACCUCUGAUGGGCUAAUUAUGUGCGAUGGAUCAGAUCUAUAGCGUCGAAGCAUCGAAAUAUGAAAGACAUCGUGAAUCUUUUCAAGUUCAGGGGGCAAAAUCAAUCUAUACGCAACCGGACCAACUCGUUCGGAGAUUUCGUACGGCCCAAUGAAUCUCGAGCUCAACUUGCCCUUACGGCCAAAUCUGAGUACCUUUUUCCAAGGCGAAACUUUAAGAAACACUUUAUCUCCCACCUGAUAUUCAAUGUCUUUUCGUUUCAAAUCCGCAUACGAUUUUUGACGAUCUGUGGCUGCCUUCAGACUUUCACGGAUUACCUUUACUUUCCGUUCGGCAUCUUUAAUCAAAUCAACUCCGAAAAUUUUACUUUCACCGAGCUCGGUCCAAAAUAAUGGGGUACGGCAUUUACGACCGUACAAAGCCUCGUAAGGUGCCAUCUUAAUACUUGUUUGAAAACUAUUGUUGUAAGCGAAUUCAAUCAAAGGUAAAUACCGUUCCCAUGAACUACUGAACUCGAGGAUGCAACAUCUCAACAUAUCCUCAAGUAUCUGAAUUAUCCGCUCAGAUUGACCAUCGUUUUGGGGGUGAAAAGCAGUGCUAAAAUGCAGCUUGGUACCCAAAGCUUCUUGCAAUUUCCUCCAAAAUCGUGAGGCGAAUCUCGGAUCUCUAUCCGACACGAUAGAAAUAGGUACCCCGUGUAAUCUCACAAUCUGAGAAACGUACAAUUCAGCUAGUUUAUCCCAUGAAAAAUCCAUACGCACAGGGAUAAAGUGAGCCGACUUAGUCAGUCUAUCGACAACAACCCAAAUCGCAUCUUUCUUACUUGCUGACAAUGGCAGUCCGGACACAAAGUCCAUUGUGACUCGAUCCCAUUUCCACUCGGGUAUCAUGAUCGACUGAAGUAAUCCUGAAGGCACUUGAUGUUCCGCUUUCACUUGUUGACAUAUUAAACAUCUCGAAACAAAGUCGGAGAUGUCUCGUUUCAUACCAUGCCACCAAAACCGACGUUUCAAAUCAUUGUACAUUUUCGUACUCCCCGGGUGAAUUGACAUUCGGCUACAAUGGGCUUCGUUCAGAAUCAUCGAAAUGAGUUCCGAAUUCCUUGGAACACACAAACGACUUCUGAACCUCAAACAAUCGUCAUCAUCAAUUUGAAACUCCGAUUCCUUGUUCGGAACACACUCAGCCCAUUUUGCAACCAAUUCAUCAUCAACUUUCUAGGCUUCACGAAUUUGAUGAAUCAAUAAUGGUUUGGCUUUUAAUUCAGCUACUAACACAUUGUCGGGUAGAACAGACAAGUGCACAUUCAUCGCUCGUAAAGCAAACAAUGAUUUCCGGCUUAAGGCGUCCGCAACCACAUUAGCCCUUCCCGGGUGGUAAUCAAUGACAAGCUCGUAAUCUUUCAACAACUCAAGCCAACGUCUUUGUCACAGAUUUAUGUCUCUUUGAGUCAUCAAAUAUUUGAGACUUUUGUGAUCCGAAAAUACAUGGCACUUUUCACCAAAUAAGUAAUGUCGCCAUAUUUUUAAAGCAAAUACGAUGGCAGCUAGUUCAAGAUCAUGGGUCGGAUAAUUUUUCUCAUGUGGCUUUAAUUGUCUCGACGCAUAGGCCACCACUCGACCUUCUUGCAUCAAUACGCAACCCAACCCAAGGAGGGAUGCGUCACUAUAAAUGACAAACUCUUUGCCUGAUUCGGGUUGCACUAAAAUUAGGAGCUUCAGUCAAAUAAGUUUUCAGUUGAUCGAAACGUUUCUGACAUUUCUCCGUCCAUUCGAACUUAACAUCCUUUUGAAGUAGCUUCGUCAUUGGUGUGGCUAUCAUCGAGAAACCUUUUACAAAUCGUCGGUAAUAACCGGCGAGUCCCAAGAAGCUCCAAACCUCAGUAAUAUUUCUCGGAGGUUUCCAGUUAAGUAUGGCUGAAAUUUUGUUCGGGUCAACUCGAAUACCCGAUGCGGAUACCACAUGACCCAAGAAGCUAACCUCUCUUAACCAGAACUCACACUUACUGAACUUAGCAUAUAACUGCUUAUCCCGCAAAAUUUGCAACACUAGUCUCAGGUGCUCAGCAUGUUCGGUCUCAUCUCUUGAAUAGACCAAGAUGUCAUCAAUGAACACAACUACUGAACCGAUCCAAAUAUGGUCUGAAGAUCUGAUUCAUCAAAUCCAUAAAUACCGCAGGGGCAUUAGUGAGUCCAAACGGCAUCACUAAGAAUUCGUAGUGACCAUAUCUCGUUCUGAAGGCAGUUUUAGGUAUGUCCGAAUCUCGAAUUCGCAACUGAUAAUAGCCCGAUCUCAAAUCUAUUUUUGAGAACACUGAGGCUCCUUUUAGUUGAUCAAACAAAUCAUCAAUACGCAGUAACGGAUAUUUAUUCUUUAUCGUCACUUUAUUCAGCUGACGAUAGUCAAUGCACAACCUCAUGGUUCCGUCCUUCUUUUUCACGAACAAUACUGGUGCACCCCAAUGUGAGAAACUUGGUCGAGCGAAACCUCUAUCCGUCAAUUCUUGCAACUGAGCUUUCAACUCUUUUAACUCGAUUGGUGCCAUACGAUACGGAGCUAUCGAAAUCGGCGUAGUCCCAGGUACAAGCUCAAUACCAAACUCUAUCUCCCGAACAGGUGGUAAACCCGGUAAUUCUUCAGGAAAAACAUCCGGGUAUUCACAAACCACCGGCACAGAUUCGGGUUUCUUUUCUAAUUCUUUGUCAUCAAGUACAUACGCAAGGUAUGCUUCGCACCCUUUUCUUACAUAUUUCUGGGCCAACAUUGAGGAUAUUACAGCUGGCAACCCCUUUAAGUCCGUAGACUCAACUCGGAUUAUCUCGUCAUUUGCGCACCUCAAAUCAAUAGUCUUGCUUUUGCAAUUCACAACCGCAUCAUGCGCGGUCAACCAAUCCAAACCAAGAAUAACAUCAAAUUCAUCAAACGGCAAAAGCAUCAAGUCCGCCGGAAAACAGGAACCUCGAAUUACUAAGGGACAUUUCUUGCACACUUUGUCGACCAGCACGUAACGACCCAAGGGAUUUGACACCCGAAUUACGAACUCAGUAGACUCAAUAGGUAAAGUCUUACUGGAUGCUAAGGUUUCACAUAUGUAAGAAUGAGUAGAACCGGGGUCAAUCAAAGCAAUUACAUUAGUAUCAAAGAGAGUAAAAGUACCGGUAAUAACAUCAGGCGAAGAAGCAUCCUCGCGGGCACGUAUAGCAUAAGCUCUAGCAGGCGCACGAGCCUCGGAUCUGGUCGUAGCAUCUCUAGAUCCUCUCUGACCACCACUAGCAUUGCCCGUAUUUCCAGAUGAUCUACCUCGAGCAGUGGUAGCACCCGGUUUCCCACUCUGAUUUACAUUCUAUUCAGACAACCUCGGGCAAUCUUUAAUGAAGUGGUCAACUGAUCUGCACUUGUAACAGGAGCGGUCAGGGAAUCUACAACUCCCCGAAUGCCAUUUACCGCAAUAUCGACAUUUCGUUCUGUCUCGACGUUCAUUCCCAACACUGGCGACCGAAGUGCCUCUAGACCGGCCCACAUCAUCUCGAAAUUUCUUCGAUGCCUGUUGAAGAGACUUUCCCGAGGAUCUUUUACGAAACUCUCCAGUUCCCACAUCAACUUUUUGUUUUUCUUUUCUAAGCUCUUCGGCUUUAUAAGCUCGCUCGACAAGUACUACGAACUCUCGUAUUUCAAGAAUGCCAACGAACAUUUUUAUAUCUUCAUUCAGCCCAUCCUCGAAGCGUUUACACAUGAUAGCCUCGGACGAAACACAUUCUCGAGCGUAUCUACUAAGUCUAACAAAUUUUCGCUCGUAAUCAGUUACUGACAUAGAACCUUGCUUAAGCUCAAGAAAUUCCUUCCGUUUUUGAUCAACAAAUCUCUGACUGAUAUACUUUUUCCGAAACUCAGUUUGGAAAAACUCCCAAGUUACUUGCUCUCGGGGCACAACAGAAGUCAGAGUACUCCACCAAUAAUAGGCAGAAUCGCGUAGCAAGGAGAUAGUACACUUUAGGCAUUCAUCGGGUGUACAAGAUAGCUCAUCGAGUACCCGGAUAGUGUUGUCCAACCAAAAUUCAGCUUGCUUGGCAUCGUCGCUAUCCGUAGCUUUAAAUUCAGUAGCCCCAUGUUUUCGGAUUCUGUCAACUGGGGGCUUAUUUGACCUUAUUUGGUCAGUUACCGGAGGUAUUGUAGGUGCGGGGGUGGUAUUUGUCGGGAAUGCAGGUUGUGGAACAGCCGUAUUAGUUCGAAUGUAUUGGUUGAACCAAUCAUUCAUCACGCUAUAGAAAGCUUGUCUAGCUUCAUCAUUCGGAUUACUAGCAUUAGGUUGAGAGUCUGCCGGCGCUGUCCCUUGUGCGAGAGCAGGCGCUACACUCUCAAGAUCAUCAGCUACCGCUCGGUUGGGAUCGGGAUCCAUUACUAUAAAUAAACACAUUUACAAUUGUCAGAAAUCACCACACUAUCAAAUAAUCACAUAAAAUGGCAUGUAUAGCUAGACCCAACGCAUUACGGUAGUCCUAGAAUCGACUAAACCGUAGCUCUGAUACCAAUCAAAUGUAACACCCCAAACCCGAAACCAUCACCGGAGUCGAACACGAGGUGUUAACAGACUUUAAACCACUUAUAAAAAAAUUUCCCAGACACUGCCAAUCUGCGUACUAGUCGCUUUAAAAAUCAUAUCUUGAGUUCAAAAACUCGGAAUCCAGUUCCGUAAAUUUUCCCUGAAACUAGACUCAUAUGCCCAUCUACAUAUUUUUUUCUAGAAUUUUUGGUUGGGCCAAUUAGUACAGUUUAUUAGUCAAAGUCUCCCAUGUUACAGGGAUCGACUACACUGACCUUUGCGCAUUACGACUUGGAUAUCUCCCUGUACAGGGCUUCAAUACUGAUUUCGUUUGUUUCUAUACAAACUAGACUCAAAGAGGAAUCUAUACAUAUAUGUAAUGACUCCUAAUUAUCUCUGGUUAAUUUAUAAUGAAUUUCCAAAGUCGAAACAGGGAAUCCAGAAACCGUUCUGGCGCUGUCUUACGAGAACCUGAAUAUCUCUUAACAUACUGUCCAUAUGAUCGUUUCGUUACUUUCCUAUGAAAAUAGAUUCAUCAAGGUUCGUUUACAUAAUUUAUUCACUAUUUAAUUCCAUUCCUACUAUUUUUAGUGAUUUUCCAAAUCUACAUCACUGUUGCUGUCAGCAUCUGCCUUUAAGGUAGACUUUACCUAUUUCAUAGUUUCCAUGAUUCAACUAGCCCUUUUAGCAUAAAUAGCACAAAUUAUGAUAGUGAUUAACCAUUCCCAUGGCCAAUCCUUGUUAAGCAUAUCCACACCUCUCAAUAACCAUAUCCAUACCAAAUGAUGAUAACAUUAUGCUCAAACAUAUAUAAGCCAUUUUCGCAUGGCUAUCCAAAAUUAUACAAGUCCAAAGGGUCCAUGACCCACAACAAACGGGUAGUCCUAUACAUGCCAUUUCGAAGUUCAACCAAAUUUGUACCAAAAGGGGGGGGCUUUGAUAGUGUGGGCGACUUCGACUUCAAAAUCCCGAGUCCGAUAGCUGGAGAACCAAAAUCUAUAAAACAGAGAAUCAAGGAGACGGAGUAGGCAAUUUAUGCUUAGUAAGUUUUGAGCAAGGGAUUCCAGCACAACAAAAGUAUAGCAUUCAUGUAGCUAAACGGAUAAUUUCAUAUGCACAAUUUUUCAAUAUCAUACUUACUUCACAUUACCAACCCUUUUAUUCAUACACAAAGAUCAACUUAGCCAAAGGCCGGUAGCUCAUUUAUCAACUGAGCGAAUACUUAUUUGUAAGGGCUCAACUAAUUCAAAGCACAUACGAAACAUACCUCAAUGUUGGGAUGUUUCAAGCGUAUUAACUGAAAUUUUUACAGCAAGAUCAUUCAUUCCCAAAUCACGUACCUUCGGAAUUUAACCGGAUAUAGCUACUCGUUCAAAUGCCUUCGGGACAUAGCCCGGUUAUAGUAACUCGCACAAAUGCCUUCGGGACUUAACCCGGAUUUAGUAACUCGCACAAAUGCCUUCGGGCUUAGCCCGGAAUUAGUAUCUCGCACAAAUGCCUUUGAAUCUUAGUCCGGAUUUAGUAUCUCGCACAAAUGCCUUCGGAUCUUAGUCCGGAUAUGGUCACUUAGCACAAAGCCUUCGGGACUUAGCCCGGACAUCAUUCAAAUAACCAUGCACAUUUAACAAUAAAUCAUGGCACAUUCGUAUUUCAUUUUCGUUAGCAAAACUCAAACACAAGACUCUUAUCAUUCUUGCAAUUUCGGCUCAAUAGCCACACACAAAGAGCAUGAUUUUAAUUUGCUUAAAACAUGAUCUAUUCAAAUCAUAAUUUAAGCUCUUUUACUCAAGAACUUACCUCGGAUGUUGUCGAACGAUUCUGAUAGCUAUUCGACCACUUUUUCCUUCCCUUUAUCGGAUUUAGUUCCCCUUUGCUCUUGAGCUUAAUUAAACAAAUAAAUUGAUUUAAUCAUUUGAGCAUCGAAAAGAGGAACACAAGGCACUUAGCCCAUAUUUAUACAUUAGACAUUAAAGUCACAUAUGUACGGAAAUCAUGAAUCAAACUCAACAUUUUAGCUAAUUUUCCCCCUUGGCCAAAUUUUCUAAGCCAAGACAAAAGCAUCAAUAUGCUUGCCUCUAACCGAAUACAUACAACACCAAUCUCCUUCCUAUGGCCGAAUAUGCAUGUCUAUGUUGGGGCCGAUUGCAACACUUAAUACAUUCUACAAGUAUGGUCACUUGUAUUGACUAAACACCAUUUUGUUUCAAGUUCAAAACUUGGCUAAUACACACAUAUAUACACUAGUAAAGCAUCCUCUCCCUUUCCAUCAAUUUAACACAUGCAUUACUCAUUAAUAUACAAAAAUUAUAUUCGGCCUUAGCACACAACUUGCUAGCCGAUUCUUCUCCAUCUAGCAACCAAUGCACAUAUGUGCUCACUCAAAAAUGCUAAAAAGAAGAUUCAAGAAUCAUCAAUCCACCAUCACAUGCAUCAUUAACAAGCUUCAUAUUUAGCAUGCAAUGACAUUAACACAAAAUCCACCUAGGCCGAAUAUCAUCCCCAUGACAUAGCAAAGAUUUGAACCAUGGGCUAAUUAGAACUCAAGCUAGCAACUAAAAACAUGCAUGAAUCUCAUGGCACAAUCAAACUUACCUUGAUCUAGAUACAAGUAUGGCCAAACCUCCUCCUAAUCCUCUUCCAAACCAAACAUGAAGCAAGAACUCCUUCCUCCUUCCUUAGAAUUUUCGGCCAAAAGAAGAUGAAAAAAAGAUGAACAAAAUUUUUCUUUUCUUUUCUUUUACUCACGGCAAUGGGGGGGGAAACAACCACACACCUUUUUUUUUUGUUUUCAUCAUAUUUCCUUUCAUUAUUUUAUGCCCAUGCUUCUUAUUUUAUUGUUUCCACCCAUGAUGCACCAACACAACAUGUCUAUGACAUGUCUUGCCCAUCACACUUGGUCUACCAUGCUUGUCAUGGCCAGCCACUACUAAUAGAGGGGGGAAAUUGACAUGCAAGUCCCCCCCUUUUUUUCAACAUGCACUAAUAGGUCCUUAUGCUUUGACCUUUCACAUUUCAAAAUUUUCUCACAUAAGUCCUAUUUACUAAAACUCACAUGCAAUCGACUAAAUCGAAGCUUGAAAUUUUCACACAUUCAUAAUUACAUAUUCUAGACCAUAAAUAUCACAUUCGAACAUUUCGGUGACUCGGUUUAGCGGUCCCGAAACCACUUCCCGACUAGGGCCAAUUUUGGGCUGUCACAAAUUUGGUCCCUUAGUUAAAGGGACCAAAUUUCUCAAUCUCCUUUGAGCUUGUGAAAAGAAGGUUUGAGGCCUUAAGUGAUCCAGCUCUCAAGGUGAGCCUAAAGAAAGCUAAGUUGGUUACUUUGAAAUUAAGGACCACCUAAGUAAUGGGACCAUCAUGAAUCCGAAGGUGCAAACCAUGGGAGACUUCUAUGAGUUGAGUAGUGACAUGUUUUGAAUAGAACUUGAUGAACCAUUGGAAAAUGGUACCAUUAUUAGAGGGUUGGUAAAAUUGAGCCCUUAUUAAGAUUCAUAAGCGACUCAGUCUAAUGCACAAAAAGAAAAGUUGAGGCUGAAAAGGGUAUAGCAUGUUAUCCAACUCUUUUGACUAAAUGCUAAAGAUAAUGUUGUUGUCACCUGUCUGAAUUUAAUGUUGGGAUCAACUUUGAGGGAGGAGGGUGAUAACAAAAGGGCUGUUGGAUAACAUCUCAAAGAAAGUUUAAGUUUGUUGUGGGAUUUAAUGUUUGAUCUUUAGUCGACUAAACAUCUUGUGUUUGUGCUUAAUGUAUCUUUCCUUAUCUUUUUCUUGGUCUUAUUAGUUACUGAAAUUAAGGACUUGAAGUAUAGUUUAGAUCAUAUGCAUUUAUAUGACUCAUUCAUAUAAACGACUGAAACCUCGAUGUAAAGUGAUGAUCCGUCUCUCAAUUUUAUUUCUGGAAAGGUUAAUUGAACUUAUUUGUUUAUGGGGAUGUUUUUCGUGCGUUUUCACCAAGUUGGCAUUGGUGUGUAUUUGUCGUAUGGACUAUCUUCUAUUUUGCAAUGAAAUGAUUUCUUGUAAGCAUAAAAAACAAAUAAAAAAAAACAAGUCCCACAAAAAUUAUAAAAAUGCUAAGCAGCUUGAGAAAAAAAUAUGUUGUAUUAAAAUAGAAUUCUUUUAAAAAAAUCAAAUUUUAAACGGGAUAUUUUCAUUUCAGCAAACGAAAGGAUAACGCGUGUCAAAAUUUCAUUAUCCAUCCACCUACUACUAUCAAUAAUAUUGGAACCACAGUUAUAAUCCGUUGUUUCCUCUUUGAAGGCUUCACUCCACAACGCUCUUUGCUUUAUCCCCUUCCAAAGAUGGACCGCUUCUCUCUUCUCUUCCUCCUCCUUUCCUCCGUCGUUGCUUCGGCCGUCGUCUCCGACGUUAAUAGCGAUGACGAUCCUCUCAUCCGUCAAGUUGUUUCCGAUGGUGGUGUCGAGGAGGACUCCGAUGACCAUCUCCUUAAUGCGGAGCACCACUUCACGCUGUUCAAAUCCAAGUAUGGGAAAACCUACGCAUCCCAGGAGGAGCACGAUUACCGACUGGGAGUCUUCAAGGCUAACCUGCGUCGGGCCAAGCGUCAUCAGGUCCUGGACCCCAGUGCCGUCCAUGGCGUCACAAAGUUUUCCGAUUUAACUCCAUCGGAGUUCCGCCGCCAGUAUCUAGGCUUGAAACCGCUCAAGCUCCCAGCCGAUGCUCAAAAGGCUCCUAUCCUUCCGACUGACAACUUACCGGAUGACUUUGACUGGCGUGACCACGGCGCCGUCACUGGCGUUAAAGACCAGGUAAUAUUAGAAUAUAAUUAGUUUAAUCACACAUAUCAUCCUUUUUAUGUCAUUAGUUAAAUUUCUCUCUUUGUUUAUGAUGAUUCUUAUUUGUUUAUGUUUAUAUUUAGGGUUCCUGUGGAUCGUGUUGGUCGUUCAGUGCGACGGGGGCUUUGGAGGGAGCCCAUUAUUUGGCGACAGGAGAGCUUGUAAGCUUGAGUGAGCAGCAGCUUGUUGAUUGUGAUCACGAGGUUUCAAUCUUUCUUACUUUUCUUUACAUCUCUCGAUUAUUUACCAAAAGAAUUUUAUCCUUCUACUUUACAAGAAUUAAAAACCUAAUUCUAUUAUUUUAAUUUAUCCGAAUUUUAUGAUGAUAUUUUAGUAAAAAUGAGAAGUUAAUUAAAUUGGGUUGAUAUUGUUAAAGCUUGUAGCAACUUAUAUGCAAGUAGUUUAACAAUUGAUUUGUAAUAAAUUAGUAAAAUUUAACUAUUUUAAUUCAUGUAUUUACUAACAACUGAACUAACUUGUCAGUUUUUGUGAAGUAUGACAACCAUUGUAGAGAUUGAUGCAUUAGAUGGGUGAAAACUGUCUGUUAAGGAUGUUAAUUAACUGGGAAAACUUUGAUGCUGUUCUGUAAUUUCAAAAUUUUCUUUUAUAUGGUUUUUGGCUGCAAAUUCAGUGCUAACAUUUGGCUACUGGCUAAAAACACGCAUUAAUUAUCAAUCUAACAAACAACAAUCCUUCAACUAAAGAUUGGUUAUUUUACAGUGUGAUCCACAACAGUAUGGUGCGUGUGACUCAGGGUGUAAUGGUGGUCUAAUGACCUCUGCUUUCGAGUACACCCUGAAGGUUGGUGGACUUGAGAGAGAGAAGGAUUACCCUUACACUGGGAAUGACCGUGGUCCCUGCAAAUUUGACAAGACCAAAAUCGCUGCCUCUGUUUCUAACUUCAGCGUCAUUUCUGUUGAUGAGGAUCAAAUCGCUGCUAAUUUGGUGAAGCAUGGUCCCCUUGCAGGUAAGUUUCAUGCCGUUUGGAGUGUCUGUUACGGUCCUUGAUUUGUGAACGAAUCUAAUCUAAAUAUGUUUUGGUUCUUGCAGUGGGUAUCAAUGCAGUUUUCAUGCAGACAUAUAUGGGAGGAGUUUCAUGUCCUUACAUUUGCUUUAGAACUUUGGAUCAUGGAGUUCUUCUGGUAGGGUACGGAGCUGCUGGUUACUCCCCAAUCCGCUUUAAGGACAAGCCUUUCUGGAUCAUAAAGAAUUCAUGGGGAGCAAACUGGGGAGAGGACGGAUAUUACAAAAUAUGCAGAGGUCGCAAUGUUUGUGGAGUGGACUCCAUGGUCUCAAGUGUGGCGGCUUUGCAUACAAAGUCUCAGUAGCAUAGCCCUGUAAAUGACUGAGAUAAGUAACAGUAAUAUUAGUAUCCAUCAGUAUGUCUUAACUCUGGAUUUAUGCCAUCUGCUAAAACGGGUUUAUUCCAAUCCUGGUUUAUGCAGCCACCUUUAAAAGGCUGCAUUUAGUAGCUUUAGAAUUUUAAUCUCAGCAUAUGAACCUCUUUUUUCUUGGGCAAUGAUUUUCAUUGUACCAAAUAAAAGGGGUGUAUGCUAGAGAUGAUUAUUACUUAUUUGUGUUGUAACCAAGUGUUGUGAUGUAUAUCAGUCUACCUAUAUAUGAAUUUGGAACUUGGUAUUAUCUCUGGGCAGGCCAAUGGCAGAAUCCCCU